CAGUCGCCGCGGGAAUACAGAGGGUGCGAGCGUUAAUCGGAUUUACUGGGCGUAAAGCGUGCGUAGGUGGUGGUUUAAGUCCGUUGUGAAAGCCCUGGGCUCAACCUGGGAAUUGCAGUGGAUACUGGGUCACUAGAGUGUGGUAGAGGAUAGUGGAAUUUCCGGUGUAGCAGUGAAAUGCGUAGAGAUCGGAAGGAACAUCUGUGGCGAAGGCGACUAUCUGGGCCAACACUGACACUGAGGCACGAAAGCGUGGGGAGCAAACAGGAUUAGAUACCCCCGUAGUCCCUGUCUCUUAUAC
This 301-nucleotide ribosomal RNA is filed under the name uncultured bacterium. RNAcentral describes it as "partial 16S ribosomal RNA". It matches the Rfam family "Bacterial small subunit ribosomal RNA", at positions 509 to 807 of the family's 1533-position model. The record is from RNAcentral.